AGCAGCCGCGGUAAUUCCAGCUCCAAUAGCGUAUAUUAAAGUUGUUACAGUUAAAAAGCUCGUAGUUGAAUUUCGGGAUCAAGGAAUCGGUCAUGCCUCGGUAUGUACUGGUUUUAUUGGUUCUCACCUUCUAAAGAACCAUAAUGUCAUUCAUUUGAUGUUAUGGGGAAUUAGGACUGUUACCUUGAAAAAAUUAGAGUGUUUAAAGCAGGCUCACGCUUGAAUACAUUAGCAUGGAAUAAUGAAAUAGGACGUUUGAUUCUAUUUUGUUGGUUUCUAGGAUCGACGUAAUGAUUAAUAGGGAUAGUUGGGGGCAUUAGUAUUCAAUUGUCAGAGGUGAAAUUCUUGGAUUUAUUGAAGACUAACUACUGCGAAAGCAUUUGCCAAGGAUGUUUUCAUUAAUCAAGAACGAAAGUUAGGGGAUCGAAGACGAUCAGAUACCGUCGUAGUCUUAACCAUAAACUAUGCCGACUAGGGAUCGGAUGAUGUUAAUUUUUUAAUGACUCA
This 507-nucleotide ribosomal RNA is filed under the name uncultured Glomeraceae. RNAcentral's name for it is "SSU rRNA". It matches the Rfam family "Eukaryotic small subunit ribosomal RNA", at positions 569 to 1078 of the family's 1831-position model. Lineage: Eukaryota; Fungi; Glomeromycota; Glomeromycetes; Glomerales; Glomeraceae. The record is from RNAcentral.